GGAGAGAUGGCUGAGUGGUCUAAAGCGUAGCAUUGGAAAUGCUAUGAAAACUUAUGGUUUUCCGAGAGUUCGAAUCUCUCUCUCUCCU
Molecule: non-coding RNA, 88 nt
Organism: Cyanidioschyzon merolae
Lineage: Eukaryota; Rhodophyta; Bangiophyceae; Cyanidiales; Cyanidiaceae
Source: Rfam